Molecule: ribosomal RNA, 1375 nt
Filed under: uncultured bacterium
Lineage: Bacteria
Description: partial 16S ribosomal RNA
Rfam family: Bacterial small subunit ribosomal RNA
Source: RNAcentral
GAUGAACGCUGGUGGCGUGCCUAAUACAUGCAAGUCGAGCGCGAGCGUAAGGAGCUUGCUCCUUACAAUCGAGCGGCGGACGGGUGAGUAACACGUGGGCAACCUACCCUUUAGACUGGGAUAACUACCGGAAACGGUAGCUAAUACCGGAUAAGUUGGAUUACACAAGUAAUCUUAAUGAAAGGCGGAUUUAUCUGUCACUAAAGGAUGGGCCUGCGGUGCAUUAGCUAGUUGGUGAGGUAGUGGCUCACCAAGGCAACGAUGCAUAGCCGACCUGAGAGGGUGAUCGGCCACACUGGGACUGAGACACGGCCCAGACUCCUACGGGAGGCAGCAGUAGGGAAUCUUCCGCAAUGGACGCAAGCCUGACGGAGCAACGCCGCGUGAGUGAAGAAGGGUUUCGGCUCGUAAAACUCUGUUGUUAAGGAAGAACACUUUAGGUAGUAACUGGCCUAGAGAUGACGGUACUUAACCAGAAAGCCACGGCUAACUACGUGCCAGCAGCCGCGGUAAUACGUAGGUGGCAAGCGUUAUCCGGAAUUAUUGGGCGUAAAGCGCGCGUAGGCGGUAGAAUAAGUCUGAUGUGAAAGCCCCCGGCUCAACCGGGGAGGGUCAUUGGAAACUGUUUUACUUGAGUGCAGAAGAGGAGAGUGGAAUUCCAUGUGUAGCGGUGAAAUGCGCAGAUAUCAGGAGGAACACCAGUGGCGAAGGCGGUUCUCUGGGCCUUUCCUGACGCUGAGGAGCGAAAGCGUGGGGAGCGAACAGGCUUAGAUACCCUGGUAGUCCACGCUGUAAACGGUGGGUACUAGGUGUGGGGUCCAUUCCACGGGUUCCGUGCCGUAGCUAACGCUUUAAGUACCCCGCCUGGGGAGUACGGCCGCAAGGCUAAAACUCAAAGGAAUUGACGGGGCCCCGCACAAGCGGCGGAGCAUGCGGAUUAAUUCGAUGCAACGCGUAGAACCUUACCUGGGUUUGACAUGGAUCGGGAGUGCCCAGAGAUGGGUGUGCCUCUUUUGGGGUCGGUUCACAGGUGGUGCAUGGCUGUCGUCAGCUCGUGUCGUGAGAUGUUGGGUUAAGUCCCGCAACGAGCGCAACCCUUGUUCACUGUUGCCAGCACGUUAUGGUGGGGACUCAGUGGAGACCGCCGGGGUCAACUCGGAGGAAGGUGGGGAUGACGUCAAGUCAUCAUGCCCCUUAUGUCCAGGGCUUCACGCAUGCUACAAUGGCUGGUACAGAGAGUGGCGAGCCUGUGAGGGUGAGCGAACCUCGGAAAGCCGGUCUCAGUUCGGAUUGGGGUCUGCAACUCGACCUCAUGAAGUCGGAGUCGCUAGUAAUCGCAGAUCAGCAACGCUGCGGUGAAUACGUUCCCGGGGCU